This 253-nucleotide ribosomal RNA is filed under the name uncultured bacterium. RNAcentral's name for it is "partial 16S ribosomal RNA". It matches the Rfam family "Bacterial small subunit ribosomal RNA", at positions 524 to 776 of the family's 1533-position model. The record is from RNAcentral.
GACGAACCGUGCAAACGUUGUUCGGAAUCACUGGGCUUCAAGGGCGCGUAGGCGGCUCGCCAAGUCGGGGGUGAAAUCUUUCGGCUCAACCGGAAAAGUGCCUUCGAUACUGGCGGGCUGGAGGGAGGUAGGGGCAUGUGGAACUUCCGGUGGAGCGGUGAAAUGCGUUGAUAUCGGAAGGAACGCCGGUGGCGAAAGCGACGUGCUGGACCUCUUCUGACGCUGAGGCGCGAAAGCUAGGGGAGCGAACGGG